CUUUCCCCGUAGCAGUAUGCAAAUCCCCAUCCUACCGUGAGAAGCUAGGGUUAGGAGACGAGUCAGUCAGACCCUCUCGUUCGGCGCUGGACGGCGAGCGUCGGGCGCCGAGCGACGGGCGGCGGGCGGCUCCGGUGAUUCCUCUCUGGUGAUUGUCCCGCUAAGUGGCAGCCCUGUUUCGAGCGUUCCGUGCUGGGCCGGCGGCCAGCGAGCGGCGCGGCUGUUACCUCUCCGGCGAUUGUCCGGCCAGCCGUGCUCAGUCCCCAACUGGAUUUGGGCCCCUAGAUUGGGCUAGAUUUGCAAAGCAAACAAAGGAGGCGAGUAGCUCGUGACUCAUUGGGUUGUCUCCUCCAAGUUCAGCACAUCUAAAAAGGAAGUAGGAGAGAGGACGAGUAACUAUGGAAUGCCAAAGUGAAGUGAGCAAGGCUCCUUCUUUUGCUAUUUGUGAUGUCCAGUCUGACGCAGAAUCAGCCGUCCACACUAGGCCAAGUCUGGACAUUGGGUUUACUACACCACAGAAAUCCUAUAGUGCACCUUUCUGUGGCUCAUCUUGUACUCCAGAGUGUGAUGAUGCCAUCAGACCAGCCAUUGGGAUGACUUUUGCUGAUUUGAACGCAGCCAAGGAGUUCUAUGAAGCUUAUGCACAUCAUGUUGGUUUUUCAGUACGUGUGGGGCAGCAAAAGAUUGUCAAUGGUGUCAUUACUCACAAGCGUUUCUACUGUGACCGUGAAGGUUUCCGUGAAGAGCGGAAAGGUAAGGAAACUUUGGUAGCUAGCACUGGUAGUAAGAGGAGAUAUGAGAGGAAAAUAACUAGAUGUGGGUGCGAAGCUAAACUUGCAGUCAAACGUACGGUCGAGAAUAAGUACAUUGUGACACUUUUCGAACAGGAGCACACACACACACUUGUAUCACCUAGUAAAAAACAAUUCAUCAGAUCAAACAGGAAAGUUAGCCAACAAGCAAAAACUACAUUAUGGAACUGUCAUAAAGCUAGCAUUGGCACAUCCCUAGCAUAUAGGUUCCUUCGUGUAGACUUGUUUUUUUUUUGAGAAUGUUGGCUGUACAAAGAGAGACUUGCAAAAUCACCACCGAAACCUUAGGUGCCUCAUCAAGUCAUCCGAUGCUCAAAUGUUUGUUGACCAGCUUGCUAGAAAACAUCUUGCAAAUUCAGGAUUUUAUUUUGACUAUGUUCUUGAUGAUAAGGGCAGACUGGUACAUGUGUUCUGGGCGGAUGCCACAUGUAGGAAAAAUUAUGCUCUAUUUGGAGAGCUUGUGUCCUUUGACUCCACGUAUUGCACCAAUCAAUAUAACAUGAUUUUCACCCCCUUUACUGGAAUCAAUCACCAUAAGGCAAGUGUUUGUUUUGGUGCUGCAAUGUUACACGAUGAGAAGGCAGAUUCUUACAAGUGGUUGUUUCGCACAUUCUUGAAAGCUAUGGGAGGGGCUGCACCUAAGUUUAUAAUAACUGACGAAUGUAGUAGCAUGGACAAUGCAAUAAGGGAAGUUUUCCCAGCAGCCGCACAUAGGCUAUGCAUGUGGCAUAUUAUGAAUAAGAUCCCUCAAAAGGUUGGCCCUGAUUUGAAGACGGAUGAGGAUUUCCAUGAACGAUUAGGUCGGUGCGUGUGGUCUUCUGAAACUCCUACUGAAUUUGAGGAACAAUGGAAAGAAAUUAUGUCAGAGUAUGGGUUGGAAGAUGAUGAAUGGUUCAGUAAAAGGUUCAGCCUUCGAGAAUCAUGGAUACCAGCUUAUUUCAAAGAAAUAGCUUUGUCAGGGCUUAUGCGGACUACUUCAAGGUCAGAGAGUGUCAAUUCUUUUUUCUCACGUAUUAUUGGUUACAAACAUGCUUUGGUUGAGUUUUGGCUUAGAUUUGACACAGCUUUGGAAGAACAACGUCACAAGGAGUUGCAAGAGGACCAUGUGAGGAUUCUAUUCCUAUGGCGGAUUCUAUUCAUAUGGCGGAUUCUAUUCCUAUGUGUGGAUUAAACAGAGCUGAGUAAACAUCACCGGUAGGAGAUGCAUGUGCAGAUUAAGUUUAGAGGAGAAAGUGGUUCUUUAUUCAGUUCAAACGCUGACCGGAUCAGGUGCACCUUUAGGCUCUAUGAUAAGUGCCGACAACAAAUUCUUCUUUUCAGCAGGAUUGUAUACUGGACCAAGGUUCUACAGGCGGUGGGUUUGCUAGGACUAUUACAUGUAAACGCAGUUGUCAACACACUGAUGAAUUUGAUAGAGGAAAGUGGUCUAAGUUUCACGAUU
Molecule: long non-coding RNA, 2253 nt
Organism: Triticum aestivum (bread wheat)
Lineage: Eukaryota; Viridiplantae; Streptophyta; Magnoliopsida; Poales; Poaceae
Exons: 4
Source: RefSeq, a predicted model, not a curated record